This 2903-nucleotide ribosomal RNA is filed under the name Klebsiella michiganensis. RNAcentral describes it as "23S ribosomal RNA". It matches the Rfam family "Bacterial large subunit ribosomal RNA". The record is from RNAcentral. Lineage: Bacteria; Pseudomonadati; Pseudomonadota; Gammaproteobacteria; Enterobacterales; Enterobacteriaceae.
UUAAGCGACUAAGCGUACACGGUGGAUGCCCUGGCAGUCAGAGGCGAUGAAGGACGUGCUAAUCUGCGAAAAGCGUCGGUAAGGUGAUAUGAACCGUUAUAGCCGGCGAUGUCCGAAUGGGGAAACCCAGUGCAAUUCGUUGCACUAUCGUUAACUGAAUACAUAGGUUAACGAGGCGAACCGGGGGAACUGAAACAUCUAAGUACCCCGAGGAAAAGAAAUCAACCGAGAUUCCCCCAGUAGCGGCGAGCGAACGGGGAGCAGCCCGGAGUCUGAAUCAGCUUGUGUGUUAGUGGAAGCGUCUGGAAAGUCGCAGGGUACAGGGUGAUACUCCCGUACACUAAAACGCACAGGUUGUGAACUCGAAGAGUAGGGCGGGACACGUGGUAUCCUGUCUGAAUAUGGGGGGACCAUCCUCCAAGGCUAAAUACUCCUGACUGACCGAUAGUGAACCAGUACCGUGAGGGAAAGGCGAAAAGAACCCCGGCGAGGGGAGUGAAAAAGAACCUGAAACCGUGUACGUACAAGCAGUAGGAGCCCACUAGUUGGGUGACUGCGUACCUUUUGUAUAAUGGGUCAGCGACUUAUAUUCUGUAGCAAGGUUAACCGUAUAGGGGAGCCGCAGGGAAACCGAGUCUUAACUGGGCGUUAAGUUGCAGGGUAUAGACCCGAAACCCGGUGAUCUAGCCAUGGGCAGGUUGAAGGUUGGGUAACACUAACUGGAGGACCGAACCGACUAAUGUUGAAAAAUUAGCGGAUGACUUGUGGCUGGGGGUGAAAGGCCAAUCAAACCGGGAGAUAGCUGGUUCUCCCCGAAAGCUAUUUAGGUAGCGCCUCGUGAACUCAUCUUCGGGGGUAGAGCACUGUUUCGGCUAGGGGGUCAUCCCGACUUACCAACCCGAUGCAAACUACGAAUACCGAAGAAUGUUAUCACGGGAGACACACGGCGGGUGCUAACGUCCGUCGUGAAGAGGGAAACAACCCAGACCGCCAGCUAAGGUCCCAAAGUCAUGGUUAAGUGGGAAACGAUGUGGGAAGGCCCAGACAGCCAGGAUGUUGGCUUAGAAGCAGCCAUCAUUUAAAGAAAGCGUAAUAGCUCACUGGUCGAGUCGGCCUGCGCGGAAGAUGUAACGGGGCUAAACCAUGCACCGAAGCUGCGGCAGCGACACUAUGUGUUGUUGGGUAGGGGAGCGUUCUGUAAGCCGUUGAAGGUGGCCUGUGAGGGUUGCUGGAGGUAUCAGAAGUGCGAAUGCUGACAUAAGUAACGAUAAUGCGGGUGAAAAACCCGCACGCCGGAAGACCAAGGGUUCCUGUCCAACGUUAAUCGGGGCAGGGUGAGUCGACCCCUAAGGCGAGGCCGAAAGGCGUAGUCGAUGGGAAACAGGUUAAUAUUCCUGUACUCGGUGUUACUGCGAAGGGGGGACGGAGAAGGCUAUGUUGGCCGGGCGACGGUUGUCCCGGUUUAAGCAUGUAGGCGGAUGUUCCAGGUAAAUCCGGAACGUUACUAACGCUGAGGUGUGAUGACGAGGCACUACGGUGCUGAAGUGACAAAUGCCCUGCUUCCAGGAAAAGCCUCUAAGCAUCAGGUAACAUCAAAUCGUACCCCAAACCGACACAGGUGGUCAGGUAGAGAAUACCAAGGCGCUUGAGAGAACUCGGGUGAAGGAACUAGGCAAAAUGGUGCCGUAACUUCGGGAGAAGGCACGCUGAUGGUAGGUGAAGCGACUUGCUCGUGGAGCUGAAAUCAGUCGAAGAUACCAGCUGGCUGCAACUGUUUAUUAAAAACACAGCACUGUGCAAACACGAAAGUGGACGUAUACGGUGUGACGCCUGCCCGGUGCCGGAAGGUUAAUUGAUGGGGUUAUCCGUAAGGAGAAGCUCUUGAUCGAAGCCCCGGUAAACGGCGGCCGUAACUAUAACGGUCCUAAGGUAGCGAAAUUCCUUGUCGGGUAAGUUCCGACCUGCACGAAUGGCGUAAUGAUGGCCAGGCUGUCUCCACCCGAGACUCAGUGAAAUUGAACUCGCUGUGAAGAUGCAGUGUACCCGCGGCAAGACGGAAAGACCCCGUGAACCUUUACUAUAGCUUGACACUGAACACUGGUCCUUGAUGUGUAGGAUAGGUGGGAGGCUUUGAAGUGUGGACGCCAGUCUGCAUGGAGCCAUCCUUGAAAUACCACCCUUUAAUGGCUGGUGUUCUAACGUGGGCCCCUAAUCGGGGUUGCGGACAGUGUCUGGUGGGUAGUUUGACUGGGGCGGUCUCCUCCUAAAGAGUAACGGAGGAGCACGAAGGUCAGCUAAUCCUGGUCGGACAUCAGGAGGUUAGUGCAAUGGCAUAAGCUGGCUUGACUGCGAGCGUGACGGCGCGAGCAGGUGCGAAAGCAGGUCAUAGUGAUCCGGUGGUUCUGAAUGGAAGGGCCAUCGCUCAACGGAUAAAAGGUACUCCGGGGAUAACAGGCUGAUACCGCCCAAGAGUUCAUAUCGACGGCGGUGUUUGGCACCUCGAUGUCGGCUCAUCACAUCCUGGGGCUGAAGUAGGUCCCAAGGGUAUGGCUGUUCGCCAUUUAAAGUGGUACGCGAGCUGGGUUUAGAACGUCGUGAGACAGUUCGGUCCCUAUCUGCCGUGGGCGCUGGAGAAUUGAGGGGGGCUGCUCCUAGUACGAGAGGACCGGAGUGGACGCAUCACUGGUGUUCGGGUUGUCAUGCCAAUGGCAUUGCCCGGUAGCUAAAUGCGGAAGAGAUAAGUGCUGAAAGCAUCUAAGCACGAAACUUGCCCCGAGAUGAGUUCUCCCUGACUCCUUGAGAGUCCUGAAGGAACGUUGAAGACGACGACGUUGAUAGGCCGGGUGUGUAAGCGCAGCGAUGCGUUGAGCUAACCGGUACUAAUGAACCGUGAGGCUUAACCU